RNAcentral lists this ribosomal RNA (494 nucleotides) under uncultured bacterium. RNAcentral's name for it is "partial 16S ribosomal RNA". It matches the Rfam family "Bacterial small subunit ribosomal RNA", at positions 28 to 507 of the family's 1533-position model. The record is from RNAcentral.
GACGAACGCUGGCGGCGUGCUUAACACAUGCAAGUCGAACGGUGAAGCGCCUUCCUUUUUGGUGGGUGUGGAUGAGUGGCGAACGGGCGAGUAACACGUGAGUAACCUGCCCCCUUCUUCUGGAUAACCGCAUGAAAGUGUGGCUAAUACGGGAUAUUCUGGGUCUGUCGCAUGAUGGGUCUGGGAAAGAUAUUGUUUCGGUGGGGGAUGGGCUCGCGGCCUAUCAGCUUGUUGGCGGGGUGAUGGCCUACCAAGGCGGUGACGGGUAGCCGGCCUGAGAGGGUGGACGGUCACACUGGGACUGAGACACGGCCCAGACUCCUACGGGAGGCAGCAGUGGGGAAUAUUGCACAAUGGGCGCAAGCCUGAUGCAGCGACGCCGCGUGAGGGAUGGAGGCCUUCGGGUUGUGAACCUCUUUCGCCAGUGAAGCAGGCCUGCCUCGUUUGUGGGUGGGUUGACGGUAGCUGGAUAAGAAGCGCCGGCUAACUACGUG